RNAcentral lists this ribosomal RNA (120 nucleotides) under Nitella hyalina. The record is from RNAcentral. Lineage: Eukaryota; Viridiplantae; Streptophyta; Charophyceae; Charales; Characeae.
UUCCGGGUACUAUUGUAGGACGUGAAAACACCCGAUCCCAUUCCGACCUCGAUCCGUGAAAUCGUCUUACGCCAUAUGUACUGAUUUUUGCAUUUUGGGAGACAUGGUUCAAGCCCGGAA